GGAUUAACCAUUGCAGAAUUUGCAAGUUUUCCUCAGGACAAUAUUGCCAGAGGGCUGCAAGUCCGGCCUGCCUGCAUUCAACCUCAGGGCUUAGAACACAUAGAUGGUUGUGAGCACUGUUGGUAUUUUUUCUAACCCAGCACGCCUUGUUACAAGUCUUGAGGAAGCUGUCUCUAUAGCACACCAACCGAGGCAACAGUAUGUGAUACGAGAGGCUUCAAAACAAUACAGUGACGAUCUGUUGCUUGAGGAACUUUACAGCUAAUUCCAGGAUAUCGGCUUUCUCUGGCUUGGAAUCAGGCUGGAGGAGCUGGAAUUCCUUCUCCAAGAGAUUCUGGAGCUGGUUAAUGCUGCUGUUGAUGCGGUCUCUGCGCAUUUUCUCCACCAUUGGUUUCCUUAUCUAGAAUGAAAAGGUAAAAUGUUUAUUUUAUUACCCAAAUGCUGGGCAUGUUGCAACAUACUGGAUAAAACACAACCUGAAAAAGAAA
Molecule: long non-coding RNA, 488 nt
Organism: Xenopus tropicalis (tropical clawed frog)
Lineage: Eukaryota; Metazoa; Chordata; Amphibia; Anura; Pipidae
Exons: 3
Source: RefSeq, a predicted model, not a curated record